Molecule: ribosomal RNA, 1365 nt
Filed under: uncultured bacterium
Lineage: Bacteria
Description: 16S ribosomal RNA
Rfam family: Bacterial small subunit ribosomal RNA
Source: RNAcentral
UUGAUCCUGGCUCAGAACGAACGCUGGCGGCGUGGAUAAGACAUGCAAGUCGAACGAGAGAAUUGCUAGCUUGCUAAUAAUUCUCUAGUGGCGCACGGGUGAGUAACACGUGAGUAACCUGCCCCCGAGAGCGGGAUAGCCCUGGGAAACUGGGAUUAAUACCGCAUAGUAUCGAAAGAUUAAAGCAGCAAUGCGCUUGGGGAUGGGCUCGCGGCCUAUUAGUUAGUUGGUGAGGUAACGGCUCACCAAGGCGAUGACGGGUAGCCGGUCUGAGAGGAUGUCCGGCCACACUGGAACUGAGACACGGUCCAGACACCUACGGGUGGCAGCAGUCGAGAAUCAUUCACAAUGGGGGAAACCCUGAUGGUGCGACGCCGCGUGGGGGAAUGAAGGUCUUCGGAUUGUAAACCCCUGUCAUGUGGGAGCAAAUUAAAAAGAUAGUACCACAAGAGGAAGAGACGGCUAACUCUGUGCCAGCAGCCGCGGUAAUACAGAGGUCUCAAGCGUUGUUCGGAAUCACUGGGCGUAAAGCGUGCGUAGGCUGUUUCGUAAGUCGUGUGUGAAAGGCGCGGGCUCAACCCGCGGACGGCACAUGAUACUGCGAGACUAGAGUAAUGGAGGGGGAACCGGAAUUCUCGGUGUAGCAGUGAAAUGCGUAGAUAUCGAGAGGAACACUCGUGGCGAAGGCGGGUUCCUGGACAUUAACUGACGCUGAGGCACGAAGGCCAGGGGAGCGAAAGGGAUUAGAUACCCCUGUAGUCCUGGCAGUAAACGGUGCACGCUUGGUGUGCGGGGAAUCGACCCCCUGCGUGCCGGAGCUAACGCGUUAAGCGUGCCGCCUGGGGAGUACGGUCGCAAGAUUAAAACUCAAAGAAAUUGACGGGGACCCGCACAAGCGGUGGAGUAUGUGGCUUAAUUCGAUGCAACGCGAAGAACCUUACCUGGGCUUGACAUGUAAUGAACAACAUGUGAAAGCAUGCGACUCUUCGGAGGCGUUACACAGGUGCUGCAUGGCCGUCGUCAGCUCGUGUCGUGAGAUGUUUGGUUAAGUCCAGCAACGAGCGCAACCCCUGUUGCCAGUUACCAGCACGUGAAGGUGGGGACUCUGGCGAGACUGCCCAGAUCAACUGGGAGGAAGGUGGGGACGACGUCAGGUCAGUAUGGCCCUUAUGCCCAGGGCUGCACACGUACUACAAUGCCCAGUACAGAGGGGGCCGAAGCCGCGAGGCGGAGGAAAUCCUAAAAACUGGGCCCAGUUCGGACUGUAGGCUGCAACCCGCCUACACGAAGCCGGAAUCGCUAGUAAUGGCGCAUCAGCUACGGCGCCGUGAAUACGUUCCCGGGUCUUGUACUCACCGCCCGUCA